Long non-coding RNA from Alosa sapidissima (American shad), 101 nucleotides. RefSeq lists it as uncharacterized. The transcript has 3 exons. The record is from RefSeq and is a predicted model, not a curated record. Lineage: Eukaryota; Metazoa; Chordata; Actinopteri; Clupeiformes; Clupeidae.
CUACAAUUAGGUCAACUUCGAGCGUGUUGACAAUUGUGCUAAAAUCCCCCGGGCUGCUCGCGAAAAAAAAACCCCACCAAGAUGUGGCAGCUAACUCAUAG